AGAGAGUCCAGUGUGUUCAUGCUAAAGAGUGCCUUUGUGUGAUUUAACAUCUUGCUUUACAUGUUUACUUUAUUCAAAUCAACUCUGUAAAUGAAUGGAGGAAAACCUACAGGUACACCAAGGAAGACCUCAAAAGCUUUCAGGACUGGGCGUGAAGGGAAGUUCCCUGGAUGAAUUUACAUAUAGAAAAGCCAAACCAGCACUAACACCUAAACCGAAGAGAAGAAGGUUGCAGAGGGCUAAAGAGAAGCGAUCAUGGAGUGUUGAUGACAGAGGUAUGAAAGAGAUAUUCAGUGAUGAAUCACCAGUAACGUAUCGCAAUGAGUGCAUUGGUACAAACCCCUAAAAAACCUUCAGGCGAAUCAGAUUCGAGAAUUUAACAGCGCUAUGUUGUAAUAUGUCUUCCUUUUUUUUUUAUUUAUUUAUUUUUUAAAUUUUAUUUAUUUAUUUCUUUCUUUUUACGAAUGGUAAUUGGGAAAAUCACAGAUGGGAAAUAAUACUCGUGAUACUCUUGUCGACCGUCAGACGAAUUAAAUCCAAAUCAUGUGCAAAGUACAAGUGUCUGUUCUGCGACCGACAUUCUUGGCAGAAGCACUGGAAAAAGACUCCGGUUGAGAGCAGUGGACAUUUGUUUCAUGAUUGAAAAACAAAUUGGGGGUAACAAGUUUUUGGCAACAUAAAAGAUUGCUUCAUUUCAUUCUGCGGAAGGCAGCGAGCAUCACAACGAUAAAAAAAUAAAUAAAUACACAAACUAAAUAACUAACACGGCCCGAGCAAUCAGGGUUUUAAAGCACUGUUGUGAAAUGGGAAGAUUGCAAUGUCUGAUGUAAUAUUUACACAAUAAUGAGAGUGACGUUAUCCAGUGAAGCUCCAGGAACCACAAUAUGUUCACAGCUUACUAUCAGACCGUGAAGAUGGAGAGAAACGCUUUAUGUGAUUCCACAACCGUGGUGCCGCUUUAUGAGUCUCGGUAAUAUUACGUUCACAAAUAUGGAUGUAAAGUAAAUGUAAAAAGACAUUUUAAACACAAAUAAAGAGUCUUUCACAACAACCUAGGAGCAUAUUUCAGAGAGAGAACUGUCCCAGCCUACUAGAACUAUACUUUAUCUUCAAAUAUAAUGUUAUAUAAAGCCUUAUAGUGUAUUAUGAGUGUUUAAAUUUAAUGUUGAAAUCCUUUUAUUUAUUUAUUUAUUUAUUUAUUAUUUAUUUAUUUAUUUUUUAAAAAGGUCAUAAUCAUGGAAUCUCG
Long non-coding RNA from Ictalurus punctatus (channel catfish), 1246 nucleotides. The record is from Ensembl. NCBI's taxonomy places the organism in Eukaryota, Metazoa, Chordata, Actinopteri, Siluriformes, Ictaluridae.